RNAcentral lists this ribosomal RNA (444 nucleotides) under uncultured bacterium. RNAcentral's name for it is "SSU rRNA". It matches the Rfam family "Bacterial small subunit ribosomal RNA", at positions 26 to 518 of the family's 1533-position model. The record is from RNAcentral.
AGAACGAACGCUGGCGGCACGCCUAACACAUGCAAGUCGAGCGCCCAGCAAUGGGAGCGGCGGACGGGUGAGUAACACGUGGGAACAUGCCUUUCGGUACGGAACAACUGCGGGAAACUGCAGCUAAUGCCGUAUACGCCCUUACGGGGAAAGAUUUAUCGCCAAAAGAUUGGCCCGCGUCUGAUUAGCUAGUUGGUGAGGUAACGGCUCACCAAGGCUUCGAUCAGUAGCUGGUUUGAGAGAACGACCAGCCACAUUGGGACUGAGACACGGCCCAAACUCCUACGGGAGGCAGCAGUGGGGAAUCUUGGACAAUGGGGGAAACCCUGAUCCAGCGAUGCCGCGUGAGUGAUGAAGGCCUUCGGGUUGUAAAACUCCUUCGACGGGGACGAUAAUGACGGUACCCGUAGAAGAAGCUCCGGCUAACUUCGUGCCAGCAGCCGC